Molecule: long non-coding RNA, 284 nt
Filed under: Daucus carota (carrot)
Lineage: Eukaryota; Viridiplantae; Streptophyta; Magnoliopsida; Apiales; Apiaceae
Description: long non-coding RNA (DCAR_LNC000504)
Source: RNAcentral
UUCUAAACUUCCGGAUUCUCAUUGCAAUAUCAUAUCCAUCGAGGUCAUGCAUGUGGAGAUCUACGAAGAUAACUUGGAAAGGUGAUGCGGAGGUUCCCAAUGCAGCAAGGCAUUCAUGCCCGGAUGAGACAACGGAAACUACACAUCCCAGCUUCUCCAGGAGCUUUCGAGUUACAGCAAGGUUUACAUCAUCAUGAUCAGCUAACAGCACCUGCCGCCCAAUAAAUAGAGAAUUUGAGUUUUGGAGCUCAGAGGAUGUCUCGCCAGUUUCUGAAACGCCUACU